This 429-nucleotide ribosomal RNA is filed under the name Acidobacteriota bacterium. Its description in RNAcentral is "Acidobacteria bacterium partial 16S ribosomal RNA". It matches the Rfam family "Bacterial small subunit ribosomal RNA", at positions 355 to 776 of the family's 1533-position model. The record is from RNAcentral. Lineage: Bacteria; Pseudomonadati; Acidobacteriota.
UGGGGAAUUUUGGACAAUGGGGGAAACCCUGAUCCAGCCAUCCCGCGUGUUCGAUGAAGGCCUUCGGGUUGUAAAGCACUUUUGGCAGGAAAGAAACGUCAUGGGUUAAUACCCCGUGAAACUGACGGUACCUGCAGAAUAAGCACCGGCUAACUACGUGCCAGCAGCCGCGGUAAUACGUAGGGUGCAAGCGUUAAUCGGAAUUACUGGGCGUAAAGCGUGCGCAGGCGGUUCGGAAAGAAAGAUGUUAAAUCCCAGAGCUCAACUUGGGAACUGCAUUUUUAACUACCGGGCUAGAGUGUGUCAGAGGGAGGUGGAAUGCCGCGUGUAGCAGUGAAAUGCGUAGAUAGGCGGAGGAACACCGAUGGCGAAGGCAGCCUCCUGGGAUAACACUGACGAUCAUGCACGAAAGCGUGGGGAGCAAGCAGG